RNAcentral lists this unclassified non-coding RNA (269 nucleotides) under Hevea brasiliensis (rubber tree). Lineage: Eukaryota; Viridiplantae; Streptophyta; Magnoliopsida; Malpighiales; Euphorbiaceae. The record is from RNAcentral.
AAAAACUGAGCUUUUUCAUCGAUUAUUCUUUCUAAAUUGAAUGCAAGUAAUUGUCUUUUCGACGAAAACUGUGUUCUGCGAAUAAGAAACUGCCAUUAUUAUACUGGGUCACCGAUGGGUUAGGUGCUGGAGGAAGGGUAGUUUUAGUUUCUGGAUAUUUAACUUCAACUCUCUGUGGUACUUGGAGAAGACCCACUUCAAUUUCUUUAUAGAAAAAGAGAGGAAAAUGGAUCAAAGACACGAUCAAAUUGAAGGGAAUUCAGAACCCA